Molecule: RNA transcript, 1659 nt
Organism: Neltuma alba
Lineage: Eukaryota; Viridiplantae; Streptophyta; Magnoliopsida; Fabales; Fabaceae
Gene name: chaperone protein DnaJ-like
Exons: 2
Source: RefSeq, a predicted model, not a curated record
CUUCAAACUCUCCCUGCAACUUCGUUCCCAGUUAAGCAACCCCCCAUCUCCCUGUUUAAAUUCAGAAAAUGGAGAAAGCAGAAGAAGCUGAACGUUUGCUUGGGGUCGCUGAAAAGCUCUUGUCCGAUCGGGAUCUCAGCGGCUCGAGAGAAUUUGCCAUUUUGGCCCAAGAAACCGAACCCCUUCUAGAGGGUUCCGAUCAAAUCCUGGCCGUCAUUGACGUCCUUCUCGCCGCUGAUAACCGAUUAAACAAUCACCUUGACUGGUACUCUAUUCUUCAAGUUGAUCGCCGAUCGGACGACACAGAUCUCAUCAAGAAGCAAUAUCGGAGGCUCGCACUUCUCCUCCACCCUGACAAGAACAGGUUCUCACACGCUGAUCAUGCAUUCAAGCUCGUCGCCGAGGCAUGGGCUACUCUAUCGGAUCCUGCCAAAAAGUCGCUCUACGACAAGGAGCUUGGUUCCUUCUCUCCGGUUGAUUUGAGCGGGCCCGGCUGGGCUCAUCAAGAAAAAUUGCCGGUCCGAAGAGCCGGAGCGGGGUUCGCUGGUGGUGGGAACCAGGGGUUUGAUUUCAGGAAUAAUGGCACCGCCACUAGGGACGCUGGAGCCGAUGAAAAUUCACGACGGAAUCCGUCGACCUUCUGGACGGCCUGCCCUUACUGUUAUUUGCUGUGCGAGUAUCCUAAGAUUUACGAGGGAUGUUGUCUAAGGUGCCAGAACUGCGAGAGAUCGUUCCAUGGGGUUUCGAUCCCGACAUUGCCGCCUCUUGUGGCAGGCCAGGAGGCCUAUUAUUGUUGCUGGGGAUUCUUUCCAUUAACUUUAGCCACUGCUAAUUCCGUCGGCAAAGAAGCUGCGACCCCUUCAGGAUUUCCAAAUUGGACGCCCCCCGUAUCUCAAUAUGGCCGGCAGUCAGAGAAUGGUUGGAAUAAAGCAGAACCCGUGGCGGCCGCAAAGCCUGUGGCAAAGACGGCGAAGGCCGGAGGUAUUUCUAAUGGGAUCCGUUCAGGCUCGGGAUCUAGUGGGCGGAAGCGAGGAAGACCGAGGAAGGCCCCAGGAGAAUCCUUUAUUGUUAUAAACUAAAUUUGAGGUUACGCUUUGCUCAGAUCAGUUGAAAAGCACUUGGGUUCCUAACUGCUGUAGAGCUAGAGCAAUUUGUUGUUGAGAAUGCCUUGAUUGUAGAGUAUGAAGAUUUGAUGGAAGGAAAUUUGUUAAUUUGGCGGUUGAUGUGGCGGGAACGGGCGUGCCUGUGCUUUCUUCGGAAGACCAAAGAAAGCUGAAGAUGCUUGGCUGGAAAACGUGUAGGACCAUAUCCUGUUUAAAGAGUAUCAAAUUCCACUCGAUCCAGGGGCUAUUGGUAUUUCAUUUCAAUUCUAUUAUCUUGAGGGAUUACAAUAAUAUCAUUCUUACAGUCUUUUAGUUAUCAAAUAAUAGGAAAGAAACAGCAUGUUUCGCAUUUGCCUCAUCCAAAGAUACUGUGUAUAAAAAGGUUUUAGUUCAACUUUCUUUAGUUUGUAGUCUUAAGUGGGGGAUAUAGGAGGUAAUGUCAAUACCAUGCUAUCUGAGUCUUAAGUUUGAAAAUAUGUAUGAGGAUUAAGAUUGUUCCUAAAAGCUUGAAGGAUCGAAUUGUCUCAGGUGGAUUUGGAUGAGAAAACUCUUAAAA